GAUGAACGCUGGCGGCGUGCCUAAUACAUGCAAGUCGAGCGACCAGACGAGGAGCUUGCUCCUCUGACGUUAGCGGCUGACGGGUGAGUAACACGUGGAUAACCUACCUCUAAUACUUGGAUAACUUCGUGAAACCGGUGCUAAUACCGGCUCAUAUAUUUAACCGCAUGGUUCAAUAGUUCAAGACGGUUUUGCUGUCACUUAUAGAUGGAUCCGCGCCGGAUUAGCUAGUUGGUAAGGUAACGGCUUACCAAGGCGACGAUGCGUAGCCGACCUGAGAGGGUGAUCGGCCACACUGGAACUGAGACACGGUCCAGACUCCUACGGGAGGCAGCAGUAGGGAAUAUUCCGCAAUGGGCGAAAGCCUGACGGAGCAACGCCGCGUGAGUGAUGAAGGUCUUCGGAUCGUAAAACUCUGUUAUUAGGGAAGAAAAAAUGUGGAAGUAACUAUGCACGUCUUGACGGUACCUAAUCAGAAAGCAACGGCUAACUACGUG
RNAcentral lists this ribosomal RNA (497 nucleotides) under uncultured bacterium. RNAcentral describes it as "partial 16S ribosomal RNA". It matches the Rfam family "Bacterial small subunit ribosomal RNA", at positions 28 to 507 of the family's 1533-position model. The record is from RNAcentral.